Chiloscyllium plagiosum (whitespotted bambooshark) is the source of this 1716-nucleotide non-coding RNA. NCBI's taxonomy places the organism in Eukaryota, Metazoa, Chordata, Chondrichthyes, Orectolobiformes, Hemiscylliidae. The record is from RefSeq and is a predicted model, not a curated record.
UGUAGAUUUACUGCAGGUGUAAUUUGAGCAUUUGGAUGUAAUUGUAUGAGUACAUAGAAGUGUGUAUGUAUUGCAGCUUAAGUAGGAAUAUUUUGAUUGCAGACUUGUUCAGAGCAGAUGUCGAACAGUUUCAGAUACUGGAAGAGGCUAUGCAAAGUGUGGAACAUCCACUUGCCUGAAUUUUAAUGUUCAGAUGCAUUCGCAGCAGAGUGGGGAGCAGGAUCUGGAAACCAGAAAAACCCCCACCACAAGGAGAAGAUUGAUGAAGACCAGUGAGUUCACCUCUUUAAGAAAACAGAGUCCGGCAGCAGCUGAAACAUUAUACUGAUGGCUGGAGACCCUGCAGCAGUGUGGAAGAAGCAAUUGGCCGUCUUCAGCACUCCAAAUACAAAACUUCAUCAAGAAGUUGAUAAGAGGUGAAAGGAAAAGGGUGUGGGCCAGGGAAGGAGAAGAAUGUCUUCGAAAAAACAGAGGCCUUAUAGUCCUAGAGCUGUACAGCAUGGAAACAGACUUCAGUCCAAUCAUCCAUGCCAACCAGAUAUCCUAAAUAUCUACUACCAUUUGCCAGCAUUUGGCCCAUAUCCCUCUAAAUUCUUUCUAUUCAUAUACCCAUCCAGAUGCCUUAAUGAAGGAGUCCUUGUAGGGAGCAAGAGAAGGCUGCCAGAAUAAAAUUAGCUAUCCCAAAGGGAAAAGGCAGUAAUUUUAAGAAUGUGGCACAAAGGAUGAUGACAUAUGAGCUUUUUAGGGUUAUUUAAACUUUAAGACUUAAGUCAAUCCCAAUUAUAAACUGAGUUGACAGAACAAUCUAGAGUUUUACUAAUUCUGAUUAGUUACAAGAUCCAUUCCAGGUACAAAGGUUUUCACAAUUUUUACUGAAUUUAUUCUCAUAACAAGUAGAAAAACAAUGAAAGAAAAAUAAUGGACAUAUGCCUCUCGUUGUUUUCUGCUGACUCAAGUUUUUCUUCUGUUUUUCUUUCUUGUACAGCAAACCAUUUGUUAACUCUUGACAGCCACUACCUGCAUGGUCAGAGAUAUCCUGACCUUGUCAAUAAAGGGAAAUUAUGUGAUCAAUCCCAGAUUGGCACCAUGGCAUAUGCACAAUUCAUGACCGGCUCCUCCUAAAAGUGAGUCACAUAGUGAUAGCACUUCAUGUAGGUUGUUCUGUUUCAAUGGGACAGUAGUGUACCUCUGCAACCUCACACUAUAGAAAAUCACACUAUGGAAAACCACUUUAGAAAAUUGCGCUGUAGAAGAUUGCUAAUAGAAAAUUGCUAUACCUGUUCAUUGGAAAGUUCACGUUAUCCAAACAACAUCCACAAUUCGUCAAUCGUGUUAUAGCCGAUUCGCUUUCGAGAAGAAUGACCUGUAUUGUCUUCUGAUUUGUUAGUUAAUACGCCUAUCACUUUGUAUGAUCACUUCUUUUGUAACAGUUUGUCUGUAACAAGCUUACAUCUUUAUUGAUGUUUGGCAUCAGCAGCGUAAACUGUCCAACUGCAUGGAGUAUGCAUUGUGCUCUUCCCCCAUCAGUGAUUUAAUAUCAUCCCAAAUGCCUCGAAGAUUUGUAUCGGAAGUGUUCUACAAAAUCUAUCAAUAUUCUUUAACUACCAGAACCCUGUGUAACUCCACAAUGACUAUUGAUGCGUAAACAAACUAAACCUCAAAUAAACCAUGCAAAAUAUUAUUAAACAAGAAUGUUUCAUAAUUUAAAUUCAAAAA